This 2922-nucleotide ribosomal RNA is filed under the name Staphylococcus aureus. Its description in RNAcentral is "23S ribosomal RNA". It matches the Rfam family "Bacterial large subunit ribosomal RNA". Lineage: Bacteria; Bacillati; Bacillota; Bacilli; Caryophanales; Staphylococcaceae. The record is from RNAcentral.
GAUUAAGUUAUUAAGGGCGCACGGUGGAUGCCUUGGCACUAGAAGCCGAUGAAGGACGUUACUAACGACGAUAUGCUUUGGGGAGCUGUAAGUAAGCUUUGAUCCAGAGAUUUCCGAAUGGGGAAACCCAGCAUGAGUUAUGUCAUGUUAUCGAUAUGUGAAUACAUAGCAUAUCAGAAGGCACACCCGGAGAACUGAAACAUCUUAGUACCCGGAGGAAGAGAAAGAAAAUUCGAUUCCCUUAGUAGCGGCGAGCGAAACGGGAAGAGCCCAAACCAACAAGCUUGCUUGUUGGGGUUGUAGGACACUCUAUACGGAGUUACAAAGGACGACAUUAGACGAAUCAUCUGGAAAGAUGAAUCAAAGAAGGUAAUAAUCCUGUAGUCGAAAAUGUUGUCUCUCUUGAGUGGAUCCUGAGUACGACGGAGCACGUGAAAUUCCGUCGGAAUCUGGGAGGACCAUCUCCUAAGGCUAAAUACUCUCUAGUGACCGAUAGUGAACCAGUACCGUGAGGGAAAGGUGAAAAGCACCCCGGAAGGGGAGUGAAAUAGAACCUGAAACCGUGUGCUUACAAGUAGUCAGAGCCCGUUAAUGGGUGAUGGCGUGCCUUUUGUAGAAUGAACCGGCGAGUUACGAUUUGAUGCAAGGUUAAGCAGUAAAUGUGGAGCCGUAGCGAAAGCGAGUCUGAAUAGGGCGUUUAGUAUUUGGUCGUAGACCCGAAACCAGGUGAUCUACCCUUGGUCAGGUUGAAGUUCAGGUAACACUGAAUGGAGGACCGAACCGACUUACGUUGAAAAGUGAGCGGAUGAACUGAGGGUAGCGGAGAAAUUCCAAUCGAACCUGGAGAUAGCUGGUUCUCUCCGAAAUAGCUUUAGGGCUAGCCUCAAGUGAUGAUUAUUGGAGGUAGAGCACUGUUUGGACGAGGGGCCCCUCUCGGGUUACCGAAUUCAGACAAACUCCGAAUGCCAAUUAAUUUAACUUGGGAGUCAGAACAUGGGUGAUAAGGUCCGUGUUCGAAAGGGAAACAGCCCAGACCACCAGCUAAGGUCCCAAAAUAUAUGUUAAGUGGAAAAGGAUGUGGCGUUGCCCAGACAACUAGGAUGUUGGCUUAGAAGCAGCCAUCAUUUAAAGAGUGCGUAAUAGCUCACUAGUCGAGUGACACUGCGCCGAAAAUGUACCGGGGCUAAACAUAUUACCGAAGCUGUGGAUUGUCCUUUGGACAAUGGUAGGAGAGCGUUCUAAGGGCGUUGAAGCAUGAUCGUAAGGACAUGUGGAGCGCUUAGAAGUGAGAAUGCCGGUGUGAGUAGCGAAAGACGGGUGAGAAUCCCGUCCACCGAUUGACUAAGGUUUCCAGAGGAAGGCUCGUCCGCUCUGGGUUAGUCGGGUCCUAAGCUGAGGCCGACAGGCGUAGGCGAUGGAUAACAGGUUGAUAUUCCUGUACCACCUAUAAUCGUUUUAAUCGAUGGGGGACGCAGUAGGAUAGGCGAAGCGUGCGAUUGGAUUGCACGUCUAAGCAGUAAGGCUGAGUAUUAGGCAAAUCCGGUACUCGUUAAGGCUGAGCUGUGAUGGGGAGAAGACAUUGUGUCUUCGAGUCGUUGAUUUCACACUGCCGAGAAAAGCCUCUAGAUAGAAAAUAGGUGCCCGUACCGCAAACCGACACAGGUAGUCAAGAUGAGAAUUCUAAGGUGAGCGAGCGAACUCUCGUUAAGGAACUCGGCAAAAUGACCCCGUAACUUCGGGAGAAGGGGUGCUCUUUAGGGUUAACGCCCAGAAGAGCCGCAGUGAAUAGGCCCAAGCGACUGUUUAUCAAAAACACAGGUCUCUGCUAAACCGUAAGGUGAUGUAUAGGGGCUGACGCCUGCCCGGUGCUGGAAGGUUAAGAGGAGUGGUUAGCUUCUGCGAAGCUACGAAUCGAAGCCCCAGUAAACGGCGGCCGUAACUAUAACGGUCCUAAGGUAGCGAAAUUCCUUGUCGGGUAAGUUCCGACCCGCACGAAAGGCGUAACGAUUUGGGCACUGUCUCAACGAGAGACUCGGUGAAAUCAUAGUACCUGUGAAGAUGCAGGUUACCCGCGACAGGACGGAAAGACCCCGUGGAGCUUUACUGUAGCCUGAUAUUGAAAUUCGGCACAGCUUGUACAGGAUAGGUAGGAGCCUUUGAAACGUGAGCGCUAGCUUACGUGGAGGCGCUGGUGGGAUACUACCCUAGCUGUGUUGGCUUUCUAACCCGCACCACUUAUCGUGGUGGGAGACAGUGUCAGGCGGGCAGUUUGACUGGGGCGGUCGCCUCCUAAAAGGUAACGGAGGCGCUCAAAGGUUCCCUCAGAAUGGUUGGAAAUCAUUCAUAGAGUGUAAAGGCAUAAGGGAGCUUGACUGCGAGACCUACAAGUCGAGCAGGGUCGAAAGACGGACUUAGUGAUCCGGUGGUUCCGCAUGGAAGGGCCAUCGCUCAACGGAUAAAAGCUACCCCGGGGAUAACAGGCUUAUCUCCCCCAAGAGUUCACAUCGACGGGGAGGUUUGGCACCUCGAUGUCGGCUCAUCGCAUCCUGGGGCUGUAGUCGGUCCCAAGGGUUGGGCUGUUCGCCCAUUAAAGCGGUACGCGAGCUGGGUUCAGAACGUCGUGAGACAGUUCGGUCCCUAUCCGUCGUGGGCGUAGGAAAUUUGAGAGGAGCUGUCCUUAGUACGAGAGGACCGGGAUGGACAUACCUCUGGUGUACCAGUUGUCGUGCCAACGGCAUAGCUGGGUAGCUAUGUGUGGACGGGAUAAGUGCUGAAAGCAUCUAAGCAUGAAGCCCCCCUCAAGAUGAGAUUUCCCAACUUCGGUUAUAAGAUCCCUCAAAGAUGAUGAGGUUAAUAGGUUCGAGGUGGAAGCAUGGUGACAUGUGGAGCUGACGAAUACUAAUCGAUCGAAGACUUAAUCAA